UACCCUAUGGCUCAGUUGGUUAGCGCGUGGAGCUGUUAUCUCUAGCACACUCCGAGGUCCCAGGUUCGAGCCCUGGUGGGGUAG
This 84-nucleotide transfer RNA is filed under the name Apiotrichum porosum. RNAcentral describes it as "Trichosporon porosum tRNA". It matches the Rfam family "tRNA". From Rfam's summary of the family: Transfer RNA (tRNA) molecules are approximately 80 nucleotides in length. Their secondary structure includes four short double-helical elements and three loops (D, anti-codon, and T loops). Lineage: Eukaryota; Fungi; Basidiomycota; Tremellomycetes; Trichosporonales; Trichosporonaceae. The record is from Rfam by way of RNAcentral.